AAUGAAAACACUAAGGAAGAUGACCUUUCAGUGCAACGAGAUGAAAAUGACCCAGCACUAAUAAAUCUUAGCCAGUGUGCUAAUAAGCCUGUGAAGCAGAAGAAAGAGACAGGGUAAAAUGAAAUCACUUAAUGGUGACUCAAGAAAAUGGAUUAAACACUGGGAAAAAACUGAAUGAUUAAUAUGUCAGUUACAAGUUAACUAAAAAAUAUUUAAGGCUGAAAUAAAAGUAGUGUUAUAGCCGACCAGGUAACUAAUGUUUCACCCUAGGACUAAAUUUUUAAUGAGAGUGAUUGCUAAGAGAAAUUUCUUUUAAAUUUGUACAUAUAGAGCCAUUAUUUUCCUUCCAGUGGAUUUUAAGAGUAGCUAUUGUGAAAUUAAAUAAAAUGACUUUAGUAUGCUGUAUGUGAAUUUUCUCAACCACUUUGAGGUGAAAGGCAUUUGUUCUGUUUUUCCUGCCUGCUAAAGUUACAGUUAUGCAGUGGCCCUACAGCUGCUGGGCUUGGAUGACGGGACUGGGCCCAGUAACAGGGAUCCUGUCCUGAUGAGGGGGACCUACUUGUCCUUUCUGUAUCUGCGUCACCUGAGGAUCCGGGAGCUGCAGCGCAUCUGCUUAGGAAUUCUGAACUAUUUUAGAUCUGUUGAGCGAACACUGACGAUCAACACUUCAGGCCUUACCUUGGUUUCAGGGAGCCUGGUCCCUACCUCAGAAGACAGUUCCUGGGUAAAUAAAGCAAAAGGAGGCAUGGGCACCUCGCAAGGCCUAGGCGCUCACCACUAUGCCCACGGGACACCUGCCGAGCACAGGGUCCAGAGCAUCCAAUUCAUGGAGUUCUCAGAAGUGGAGAACCAGGAUGACUACUACAGUAUGGAUGCUGGUUACAUCCACACCCAGGACCAGCAAGGAGUGUAUGUCAUGUAUGAUGCAGCCUUGAGUGAUCUGAAGGACCUAGAGACAGAACUGCUGCUUGUGGCCAGCCAUUACAUUGAGAGAGAAAAAGGUCACAAAGAGGGCAGCAAGUCACAUAUUGACCAGGACUGGGGAUGGACCCAUGCAGGUGUGGACAGAUUUGCUGUGCUGUAUGACAUGUGGACUUGGGAAGCAACUCUUCUAGAAAGCAAGCGCCAGGUAUUUUUGCCUAGAAAACAAAACACCUAUUAAAAACAUUCUUAUAAAACCCAAUAUAUUUUUUUAAACCCCAUGGGUCUUUUAGGGCAACUCCCAAUGAAGUGAAUAAGUAUUUUAAAAAUCUUAGCUA
Long non-coding RNA from Bos indicus x Bos taurus (hybrid cattle), 1259 nucleotides. Lineage: Eukaryota; Metazoa; Chordata; Mammalia; Artiodactyla; Bovidae. The record is from Ensembl.